RNAcentral lists this small RNA (970 nucleotides) under Pongo abelii (Sumatran orangutan). RNAcentral describes it as "processed transcript". Lineage: Eukaryota; Metazoa; Chordata; Mammalia; Primates; Hominidae. The record is from RNAcentral.
GCCCCGGAGAGCUGCUCUUCCGCUCGGAUCCCUUGGCGUACACGGUGUGCAAGGGGAGUCGUGGCGUUGUCUGCGACCGCUGCCUCCUCGGGAAGGAAAAGCUGAUGCGAUGCUCUCAGUGCCGCGUCGCCAAAUACUGUAGUGCUAAGUGUCAGAAAAAAGCUUGGCCAGACCACAAGCGGGAAUGCAAAUGCCUUAAAAGCUGCAAACCUAGAUAUCCUCCAGACUCCGUUCGACUUCUUGGCAGAGUUGUCUUCAAACUUAUGGAUGGAGCACCUUCAGAAUCAGAGAAGCUUUACUCAUUUUAUGAUCUGGAGUCAAAUAUUAACAAACUGACUGAAGAUAAGAAAGAGGGCCUCAGGCAACUUGUAAUGACAUUUCAACAUUUCAUGAGAGAAGAAAUACAGGAUGCCUCUCAGCUGCCACCUGCCUUUGACCUUUUUGAAGCCUUUGCAAAAAGAUGGAGUCUUGCCAUGUUGCCCAGACUGGUCUUCAACUCCUGGGCUCGAGCGAUCCUCCUGCCUCAGCCCCACAAAGUACUGGGAUUAUAGGCGUGAGCCACUGAGCCCAGCCCUUUCAUUUAUUUAGAGAUCUUAUUUAGUUUAUCCCAAAUGUGCUUGUCUGUUUUGAUUGUGAUUUAAUGUAUGCAACACCUAUUCUAGGAUAGGUAAAGUACAAAGUGCCUUACACUUAAUCCCCCACAAUUACUUCCUGAACAUGGAUUGUUCUCACUGUGUUCACUUGUCAUAACUGCACCUGAGCGUUACAGAGCCAACAAAUGUUGGAACUGGGAUUCAAAGGAGAUCUGCUCACUCCAAAGGCUAUGCUCUUAGUCUCCAGUAGUCAAGAUAACACAUUGGGAAUUCUGUAGAUAAAUAUUUAAAGAUAUUUUUAGCAAUUGUUGCAUGCUUGUUUCUCACCUCCUGCCUCCCUCAACCAAAAAUAAACAUACAAAUUAUACGAGUGGAUA